UACGUAGGGGGCAAGCGUUGUCCGGAUUUAUUGGGCGUAAAGAGCGUGUAGGCGGCCGCACAGGUCCGUUGUGAAAACUGGAGGCUUAACCUCCAGACGUCGAUGGAAACCGUGCGGCUAGAGUCCGGAAGAGGAGAAUGGAAUUCCUGGUGUAGCGGUGAAAUGCGCAGAUAUGAGGAAGAACACCCGUGGCUAAGGCGGUUCUCUAGUACGGUACUGACGCUGAGACGCGAAAGCGUGGGGAGCGAACAGG
This 253-nucleotide ribosomal RNA is filed under the name uncultured bacterium. Its description in RNAcentral is "partial 16S ribosomal RNA". It matches the Rfam family "Bacterial small subunit ribosomal RNA", at positions 524 to 776 of the family's 1533-position model. The record is from RNAcentral.